CACGUAGGCACCAAGCGUUAUCCGGAAUUAUUGGGCGUAAAGCGUCCGCAGGCGGCCUUGAAAGUCUGUUGUUAAAGCGUGGAGCUCAACUCCAUUUCAGCAAUGGAAACUACAAGGCUAGAGUGUGGUAGGGGCAGAGGGAAUUCCCGGUGUAGCGGUGAAAUGCGUAGAUAUCGGGAAGAACACCAGUGGCGAAGGCGCUCUGCUGGGCCAUAACUGACGCUCAUGGACGAAAGCCAGGGGAGCGAAAGGG
Molecule: ribosomal RNA, 253 nt
Filed under: uncultured Synechococcus sp.
Lineage: Bacteria; Bacillati; Cyanobacteriota; Cyanophyceae; Synechococcales; Synechococcaceae
Description: partial 16S ribosomal RNA
Rfam family: Bacterial small subunit ribosomal RNA
Source: RNAcentral